RNAcentral lists this transfer RNA (76 nucleotides) under bacterium. Its description in RNAcentral is "tRNA-Lys". It matches the Rfam family "tRNA". Rfam says of the family: Transfer RNA (tRNA) molecules are approximately 80 nucleotides in length. Their secondary structure includes four short double-helical elements and three loops (D, anti-codon, and T loops). The record is from RNAcentral. RNAcentral also lists the same sequence under 1 other name.
GGAACGGUAGCUCAAUUGGUAGAGCAUGAAACUUUUAAUUUCAGGGUAAUGAGUUCAAAUCUCAUCCGUUCCACCA